GAUGAACGCUGGCGGCGUGCUUAACACAUGCAAGUCGAACGGAAAGGCCCUGCUUUUGUGGGGUGCUCGAGUGGCGAACGCGUGAGUAACACGUGAGUAACCUGCCCUUGUCUUUGGGAUAUCUUCAGGAAACUGGGGCUCAUAUCGGAUAGGAGCUCCUGCUGCAUGGGGGGGGUUGGAAAGUUUCGGCGGUUGGGGGUGGUCUCGCUGCUUCUCGGCUUGUUGGUGGGGUAGUGGCUUACCAAGGUUUUGACGGGUAGCCGGCCUGGGGGGGUGACCGGCCACAUUGGGACUGAGAUACGGCCCAGACUGCUACGGGAGGCAGCAGUGGGGAAUAUUGCCCGAUGGGCGGAAGCCUGGUGCAGCAACGCCGCGUGCGGGAUGACGGCCUUCGGGUUGUAGACCGCUUUCGCCUGUGACGAAGCGUGAGUGACGGUAAUGGGUAAAGAAGCACCGGCUAACUACGUG
RNAcentral lists this ribosomal RNA (468 nucleotides) under uncultured bacterium. Its description in RNAcentral is "partial 16S ribosomal RNA". It matches the Rfam family "Bacterial small subunit ribosomal RNA", at positions 28 to 507 of the family's 1533-position model. The record is from RNAcentral.